This 253-nucleotide ribosomal RNA is filed under the name uncultured bacterium. RNAcentral's name for it is "partial 16S ribosomal RNA". It matches the Rfam family "Bacterial small subunit ribosomal RNA", at positions 524 to 776 of the family's 1533-position model. The record is from RNAcentral.
UACGGAGGGGGCUAGCGUUGUUCGGAAUUACUGGGCGUAAAGCGCGCGUAGGCGGACGUUUAAGUCAGGGGUGAAAUGCCGGGGCUCAACCUCGGAACUGCCUUUGAUACUGGACGUCUGGAGUUCGGGAGAGGUGAGUGGAAUUCCGAGUGUAGAGGUGAAAUUCGUAGAUAUUCGGAGGAACACCAGAAGCGAAGGCGGCUCACUGGCCCGAUACUGACGCUGAGGCGCGAAAGCGUGGGGAGCAAACAGG